GAAAAAUGAGGACAACUUUUAUAGCCUGAUGUUCUGUGACUGCUAAAGAUCCAACUCUGAUUUCACUCAGCAA
This is a small nucleolar RNA of Carcharodon carcharias (great white shark), 73 nucleotides long. RefSeq annotates it as small nucleolar RNA SNORD19. The transcript has a single exon. The record is from RefSeq and is a predicted model, not a curated record. Lineage: Eukaryota; Metazoa; Chordata; Chondrichthyes; Lamniformes; Lamnidae.